GGCGAACGCUGGCGGCGUGCUUAACACAUGCAAGUCGAACGGAAAGGCCCUGCUUUUGUGGGGUGCUCGAGUGGCGAACGGGUGAGUAACACGUGAGUAACCUGCCCUUGACUUUGGGAUAACUUCAGGAAACUGGGGCUAAUACCGGAUAGGAGCUCCUGCUGCAUGGUGGGGGUUGGAAAGUUUCGGCGGUUGGGGAUGGACUCGCGGCUUAUCAGCUUGUUGGUGGGGUAGUGGCUUACCAAGGCUUUGACGGGUAGCCGGCCUGAGAGGGUGACCGGCCAUAUUGGGACUGAGAUACGGCCCAGACUCCUACGGGAGGCAGCAGUGGGGAAUAUUGCACAAUGGGCGGAAGCCUGAUGCAGCAACGCCGCGUGCGGGAUGACGGCCUUCGGGUUGUAAACCGCUUUCGCCUGUGACGAAGCGUGAGUGACGGUAAUGGGUAAAGAAGCACCGGCUAACUACGUG
Molecule: ribosomal RNA, 468 nt
Filed under: uncultured bacterium
Lineage: Bacteria
Description: partial 16S ribosomal RNA
Rfam family: Bacterial small subunit ribosomal RNA
Source: RNAcentral